GUAGUGGCCUACCAAGGCGACGACGGGUAGCCGGCCUGAGAGGGUGACCGGCCACACUGGGACUGAGACACGGCCCAGACUCCUACGGGAGGCAGCAGUGGGGAAUAUUGCGCAAUGGGCGGAAGCCUGACGCAGCGACGCCGCGUGGGGGAUGACGGCCUUCGGGUUGUAAACCUCUUUCGGCAGGGACGAAGCCGGAAGGUGACGGUACCUGCAGAAGAAGCACCGGCUAACUACGUGCCAGCAGCCGCGGUAAUACGUAGGGUGCGAGCGUUGUCCGGAAUUACUGGGCGUAAAGAGCUCGUAGGUGGUUUGUCGCGUUGUUCGUGAAAACCUGAGGCUUAACCUUGGGCGUGCGGGCGAUACGGGCAGACUGGAGUACUGCAGGGGAGACUGGAAUUCCUGGUGUAGCGGUGAAAUGCGCAGAUAUCAGGAGGAACACCGGUGGCGAAGGCGGGUCUCUGGGAAACAACUGACGCUGAGGAACGAAAGCGUGGGUAGCAAACAGGAUUAGAUACCCUGGUAGUCCACGCCGUAAACGGUGGGCGCUAGG
RNAcentral lists this ribosomal RNA (553 nucleotides) under uncultured Actinomycetes bacterium. RNAcentral describes it as "bacterial SSU rRNA". It matches the Rfam family "Bacterial small subunit ribosomal RNA", at positions 257 to 820 of the family's 1533-position model. The record is from RNAcentral. Lineage: Bacteria; Bacillati; Actinomycetota; Actinomycetes.